This 491-nucleotide ribosomal RNA is filed under the name uncultured bacterium. RNAcentral's name for it is "partial 16S ribosomal RNA". It matches the Rfam family "Bacterial small subunit ribosomal RNA", at positions 29 to 506 of the family's 1533-position model. The record is from RNAcentral.
AGUGAACGCUGGCGGUAGGCCUAACACAUGCAAGUCGAACGGCAGCACAGUAAGAGCUUGCUCUUACGGGUGGCGAGUGGCGGACGGGUGAGGAAUACAUCGGAAUCUACUUUUUCGUGGGGGAUAACGUAGGGAAACUUACGCUAAUACCGCAUACGACCUACGGGUGAAAGCAGGGGAUCUUCGGACCUUGCGCGAUUGAAUGAGCCGAUGUCGGAUUAGCUAGUUGGCGGGGUAAAGGCCCACCAAGGCGACGAUCCGUAGCUGGUCUGAGAGGAUGAUCAGCCACACUGGAACUGAGACACGGUCCAGACUCCUACGGGAGGCAGCAGUGGGGUAUAUUGGACAAUGGGCGCAAGCCUGAUCCAGCCAUACCGCGUGGGUGAAGAAGGCCUUCGGGUUGUAAAGCCCUUUUGUUGGGAAAGAAAAGCAGCAGGUUAAGACCCCGCUGUUCUGACGGUACCCAAAGAAUAAGCACCGGCUAACUUCGU